This 491-nucleotide ribosomal RNA is filed under the name uncultured bacterium. RNAcentral's name for it is "partial 16S ribosomal RNA". It matches the Rfam family "Bacterial small subunit ribosomal RNA", at positions 29 to 507 of the family's 1533-position model. The record is from RNAcentral.
GUGAACGCUGGCGGUAGGCCUAACACAUGCCAGUCGAACGGCAGCACAGUAAGAGCUUGCUCUUACGGGUGGCGAGUGGCGGACGGGUGAGGAAUACAUCGGAAUCUACUUUUUCGUGGGGGAUAACGUAGGGAAACUUACGCUAAUACCGCAUACGACCUACGGGUGAAAGCAGGGGAUCUUCGGACCUUGCGCGAUUGAAUGAGCCGAUGUCGGAUUAGCUAGUUGGCGGGGUAAAGGCCCACCAAGGCGACGAUCCGUAGCUGGUCUGAGAGGAUGAUCAGCCACACUGGAACUGGGACACGGUCCAGACUCCUACGGGAGGCAGCAGUGGGGAAUAUUGGACAAUGGGCGCAAGCCUGAUCCAGCCAUACCGCGUGGGUGAAGAAGGCCUUCGGGUUGUAAAGCCCUUUUGUUGGGAAAGAAAAGCAGCAGGUUAAUACCCCGCUGUUCUGACGGUACCCAAAGAAUAAGCACCGGCUAACUUCGUG